GGAGGAGGGGACAGUGUGGUGGAAAAAGUUGUGACUUUUUUUCUCUCUCUUAUCCCUUCCCCUUCCUUUUCCUUUCCCUUCCUUUUCCCUACCCUUUUUUCCUACUUCUCCCUUCCCUUUCCCUUCCCCUUCUCCUUCUUUUUCCUUCUUCAUUUUUUCUCCAUUCCCUUCUGAUCUCUCCCUCUCCUUCGCUCUCCCCACCCCCUCCCCCGCUUCCUCUCCUCGCCUUCUCCCUUCUCCUUUCCCCCCCACUUUCCUCUCUUCCUUACCUUUCUCUCUUUUCUUCUUCCCUUUUCCAAAUUCCAACACCAUGGCCAGCGCUUAUCACUGGGAAGCCCGAAGAAGACAGAUGGCUUUGGACCGGAGGAGACACUACCAGCUUCAACAGGAAAUGAAAAACAAAAAGAUAGAGAAUGACCUGGAGGAACAAAGAUAUUGCAUGGGGCUUGAACCCUAUCAGCGGUAUUGCUCUCCAAGCCCUGACCAUGAAUACCUGUAUGACAACGAAAGCCCUGAGACCUCCCACCAGAAUGCUGGGGCGUAUAUCGCUGGACAGUCUCCAGAAGACUUAAGAGGUGGCUACAUGAUUCCUGAACGCCGCACCAUGGGACACUGCAUGUGCCAAUGCCAGUGCCACUUCCAAGGUCAGGGCCAGCAUCGGAGCAGGCACCAAGUCCAGGAGGAAGAACAGGAUGAGGACCAGGAUGAAGUCCAGAAUGUGGGCCAAAGCAAGAACCGUGACCGGAAACGGGACCUAUGCCAGAGCAAGAGCCAGGACCGGGCCCGGACCCUAGGAAAGGGCCACCGCCAGAGCAAGAGCCAGGUCCGGGACCGGGACCGGGACCGGGAGCGGGAGCGGAAACAGGGCAAGAUCCAAUGCCAGUGCAAAGAGCAUGGACACCAUACUGGUCACCACCAUCACAAAAUUCAUCCCAUGGGUCACCAACAAGCUCCUCAUCAUCCCCAAGAGUUCAAACACAGUGUCCCAGAAACUCUUCGCCAUCCCAAACGUGGAAAGAGAUACACGAUUGCCUCUACUUACCCAAAGCCACACUGACAGUGGGUUGUGGAGCUGGAUUUGAUGGCAUCUUCCAAUUCUAACUACCUAAUUAUACCCUGCCCCUAGGAUUGGUCCCUGAGCCAGGCCAUGGACUACAUCCAGCAGUGGUAGUGGAAAGAGGACCCAGCCUCAAACUGUUGUUCAUCAGGAGAUGAGAACUGAUGUAAUCAACGAAGUUGGCAUCUAAUACUUUCCCUUAACAAAUCUUUUCCCCAACACUGAGGAUAAUGGCAUGCAUCAAUAAAGAAAUUGUUCUUGGAAUGAC
RNA transcript from Trichosurus vulpecula (common brushtail), 1325 nucleotides. It is a transcript of the gene named coiled-coil domain containing 200, with no coding region annotated. Lineage: Eukaryota; Metazoa; Chordata; Mammalia; Diprotodontia; Phalangeridae. The record is from RefSeq and is a predicted model, not a curated record. The transcript has 5 exons.